This 291-nucleotide long non-coding RNA is filed under the name Lathyrus oleraceus (garden pea). RNAcentral's name for it is "Pisum sativum (pea) long non-coding RNA (PSAT_LNC035272)". Lineage: Eukaryota; Viridiplantae; Streptophyta; Magnoliopsida; Fabales; Fabaceae. The record is from RNAcentral.
AAAGUUUGGAUUAACGAGAACUAUAUCUUGGAUCUAACUCUCAGGAGCUCGUUGACUACAUCCCGUUCCUUUCAUCUCUCAUAUUGAAAAAGUGUUGAAUAAUUGUUAAGUAUUUUUAAUUUUGAUUAUGAAAAUGGCUUGAUGUUGGAUCAAGCAUUUGAUGAUUGAUUGCAAACGAAUUUAAAUAUAAUGGUUUGAAAGAUUUGGAAGAAAUGGAUAGAAAUGUAUGGUUGGAAAUGAUUGAAUUAUUAUUUGAGAAAAUACUCGACGUUGGAUCGAGUUUUAUUUUUG